UUUAUCUUAAUAAUUAUUUAUUUCCUUGACACAGUUUUCUUUCCUUAUAUUUAUUAGCGUCUAUUGAUUUCCUUGCCUCUGCUAUCCCAUAAUCAAUUCUUGCCUUAAUGCUUCCUGGCAACUUAUUUAUUCUGGCAAAAAGUAUUAAAAGAGUGACUUCAUUGUGUUGGAAAAGACUCUUUUAUUUUGCCCUUAAAGAAAGAAGAUAUAAUUUAUUUCACCAGUACCAACUGAGGUGUCUUACUCAGUUCUACAGAUUUUAUUCUGAAUUA
This 272-nucleotide long non-coding RNA is filed under the name Pan troglodytes (chimpanzee). Its description in RNAcentral is "long non-coding RNA NONPTRT014156". The record is from RNAcentral. Lineage: Eukaryota; Metazoa; Chordata; Mammalia; Primates; Hominidae.